CUACGUGCCAGCAGCCGCGGUAAUACGUAGGGAGCGAGCGUUAUCCGGAUUUAUUGGGUGUAAAGGGUGCGUAGACGGAAAUGCAAGUUAGUUGUGAAAUACCUCGGCUUAACUGAGGAACUGCAACUAAAACUAUAUUUCUUGAGUAUCGGAGGGGUUUGUGGAAUUCCUAGUGUAGCGGUGAAAUGCGUAGAUAUUAGGAAGAACACCGGUGGCGAAGGCGACAAACUGGACGAUAACUGACGUUGAGGCACGAAAGUGUGGGGAGCAAGCAGGAUUAGAUACCCUGGUAGUCCACACCGUAAACGAUGGAUACUAGGUGUUGGCAAUGAAUAAUUGUCGGUGCCGGCGCUAACGCAAUAAGUAUCCCACCUGGGGAGUACGACCGCAAGGUUGAAACUCAAAGGAAUUGACGGGGGCCCGCACAAGCAGUGGAGUAUGUGGUUUAAUUCGAAGCUACGCGAAGAACCUUACCAAGGCUU
RNAcentral lists this ribosomal RNA (482 nucleotides) under uncultured bacterium. RNAcentral describes it as "bacterial SSU rRNA". It matches the Rfam family "Bacterial small subunit ribosomal RNA", at positions 501 to 982 of the family's 1533-position model. The record is from RNAcentral.